This 301-nucleotide ribosomal RNA is filed under the name uncultured bacterium. RNAcentral's name for it is "partial 16S ribosomal RNA". It matches the Rfam family "Bacterial small subunit ribosomal RNA", at positions 509 to 809 of the family's 1533-position model. The record is from RNAcentral.
CAGUCGCCACGGUAAUACGAAGGGGGCUAGCGUUGCUCGGAAUGACUGGGCGUAAAGGGCGCGUAGGCUGUUUGUACAGUCGGGUGUGAAAUUCCUGGGCUUAACCUGGGGGCUGCAUCCGAUACGUGCAGGCUUGAGUGCGGAAGAGGGUCGUGGAAUUCCCAGUGUAGAGGUGAAAUUCGUAGAUAUUGGGAAGAACACCGGGCGAAGGCGGCGACCUGGUCCGUGACUGACGCUGAUGCGCGAGAGCGUGGGGAGCAAACAGGAUUAGAUACCCCUGUAGUCCCUGUCUCUUAUACAC